CCUACGGGAGGCAGCAGUGAGGAAUAUUGGUCAAUGGACGAGAGUCUGAACCAGCCAAGUAGCGUGAAGGAUGACUGCCCUAUGGGUUGUAAACUUCUUUUAUAUGGGAAUAAAAUGUUCCACGUGUGGGAUUUUGUAUGUACCAUAUGAAUAAGGAUCGGCUAACUCCGUGCCAGCAGCCGCGGUAAUACGGAGGAUCCGAGCGUUAUCCGGAUUUAUUGGGUUUAAAGGGAGCGUAGGUGGAUUGUUAAGUCAGUUGUGAAAGUUUGCGGCUCAACCGUAAAAUUGCAGUUGAAACUGGCAGUCUUGAGUACAGUAGAGGUGGGCGGAAUUCGUGGUGUAGCGGUGAAAUGCUUAGAUAUCACGAAGAACUCCGCUUGCGAAGGCAGUUCACUGGACUGCAACUGACACUGAUGCUCGAAAGUGUGGGUAUCAAACAGGAUUAGCUACCCGAGUAGUC
This 460-nucleotide ribosomal RNA is filed under the name uncultured bacterium. RNAcentral's name for it is "partial 16S ribosomal RNA". It matches the Rfam family "Bacterial small subunit ribosomal RNA", at positions 338 to 795 of the family's 1533-position model. The record is from RNAcentral.